Molecule: ribosomal RNA, 367 nt
Filed under: uncultured bacterium
Lineage: Bacteria
Description: bacterial SSU rRNA
Rfam family: Bacterial small subunit ribosomal RNA
Source: RNAcentral
GGAGGGUGCAAGCGUUAUCCGGAUUUAUUGGGUUUAAAGGGUGCGUAGGCGGUAAAAUAAGUCAGUGGUGAAAAGCUGCAGCUCAACUGUAGUCCUGCCAUUGAAACUGUUUUACUUGAGUAACCAUGAGGUAGGCGGAAUGUGUAGUGUAGCGGUGAAAUGCUUAGAUAUUACACAGAACACCGAUUGCGUAGGCAGCUUACUAGAGGUUCACUGACGCUGAUGCACGAAAGCGUGGGGAUCAAACAGGAUUAGAUACCCUGGUAGUCCACGCCGUAAACGAUGAUAACUCGCUGUUGGCGAUACACAGUCAGCGGCUUAGCGAAAGCGUUAAGUUAUCCACCUGGGGAGUACGCUCGCAAGAGUG